AACAACCCGUCCACCUGCACAUCUUAGCAUGCACCGAGGACGGUGCAAUCUUUAAGUGUGGGGAGGUCGAUACUGAUCUCCAUGGGUUUUAUAGGGCGUGAAUGAUUUGGAGAUUGAAAAGGAAGCUUGCAAAAAUGGAAGGAACACAAGAAAUUGAGAAGAUGACCAGCGAGAAGUGACGCGGACGCAUGACUCAUGCGACCGCGCAACAUAGAGGAAAUUGCAGUGACGUGGACGCAUGGCUCACGCGACCGCGCGGAUCGGAAUUGCACAAGUGAUGCGGAGGUGUGGACGACGCGUACGCGUGGCAAGGCAAAACGCCAGAUGACGCGUCCGCAUGAAUGACGCGAUCGCGUGACACGCGCGAUCUGCAGAAUUCGUUGGGGGCGAUUUUGGGCCCUGUUUUGACCCAGUUUUCGGCCCAGAAAAGCAGACUAGAGCUAGGAAACAUGUAGAAACGAAGGAGAACAUUCAUUACAGACAAUUUUUUCAGUUUUAGAUCUAGUUUUGACUCCUCUAGGUUUUCUCUCUACACAUUCAUAAUUUUUAGGAUU
Molecule: long non-coding RNA, 554 nt
Organism: Arachis ipaensis
Lineage: Eukaryota; Viridiplantae; Streptophyta; Magnoliopsida; Fabales; Fabaceae
Source: RefSeq, a predicted model, not a curated record